Molecule: ribosomal RNA, 242 nt
Filed under: uncultured bacterium
Lineage: Bacteria
Description: partial 16S ribosomal RNA
Rfam family: Bacterial small subunit ribosomal RNA
Source: RNAcentral
GGCGACCGGCGCACGGUGAGUAACGCGUAUGCAACCUGCCCGAUACCGGGGUAUAGCCCAUGGAAACGUGGAUUAACACCCCAUAGUACUUUUAUCCUGCAUGGGAUGUGAGUUAAAUGUUCAAGGUAUCGGAUGGGCAUGCGUCCUAUUAGUUAGUUGGCGGGGUAACAGCCCACCAAGACGAUGAUAGGUAGGGGUUCUGAGAGGAAGGUCCCCCACAUUGGAACUGAGACACGGUCCAA